This 749-nucleotide ribosomal RNA is filed under the name uncultured Capnocytophaga sp. RNAcentral describes it as "bacterial SSU rRNA". It matches the Rfam family "Bacterial small subunit ribosomal RNA", at positions 28 to 776 of the family's 1533-position model. The record is from RNAcentral. Lineage: Bacteria; Pseudomonadati; Bacteroidota; Flavobacteriia; Flavobacteriales; Flavobacteriaceae.
GAUGAACGCUAGCGGCAGGCCUGACACAUGCAAGUCGAGGGAGAGGUUAUCUUCGGGUAACCAAAACCGGCGCACGGGUGCGUAACGCGUAUACAAUCUGCCUUUCACAUAGGGAUAGCCCGAAGAAAUUUGGAUUAAUACCUAAUGGUAUAUAAGAACGGCAUCGUUUUUAUAUUAAAGCUACGGUGGUGAAAGAUGAGUAUGCGUUCUAUUAGCUAGUUGGAGAGGUAACGGCUCCCCAAGGCGACGAUAGAUAGGGGUUCUGAGAGGGAUGUCCCCCACACUGGUACUGAGAUACGGACCAGACUCCUACGGGAGGCAGCAGUGAGGAAUAUUGGACAAUGGUCGGAAGACUGAUCCAGCCAUGCCGCGUGCAGGAUGAAGGUCCUAUGGAUUGUAAACUGCUUUUGUAAGGGAAGAAUAAGGAGUACGUGUACUUUGAUGACGGUACCUUACGAAUAAGCAUCGGCUAACUCCGUGCCAGCAGCCGCGGUAAUACGGAGGAUGCGAGCGUUAUCCGGAAUCAUUGGGUUUAAAGGGUCCGUAGGCGGGCUGAUAAGUCAGAGGUGAAAGCGCUUAGCUCAACUAAGCAACUGCCUUUGAAACUGUCAGUCUUGAAUGAUUGUGAAGUAGUUGGAAUGUGUAGUGUAGCGGUGAAAUGCUUAGAUAUUACACAGAACACCGAUAGCGAAGGCAUAUUACUAACAAUUUAUUGACGCUGAUGGACGAAAGCGUGGGGAGCGAACAGG